This 254-nucleotide unclassified non-coding RNA is filed under the name plant metagenome. RNAcentral describes it as "partial contains small subunit ribosomal RNA, internal transcribed spacer 1, and 5.8S ribosomal RNA". The record is from RNAcentral.
AUUCCGUAGGUGAACCUGCGGAAGGAUCAUUAGCGAGUUAGGGUCUUCCAGGCCCGACCUCCCAACCCUAUGUUUAUUGAACCUCUGUUGCUUCGGCGGGCCCGUCUCACGGCCGCCGGGGGAGUCGCCGCGAGGCACCCUCUGGCCAGCGUCCGCCGAUGGCCAACCUCAAAACUCUGAAUGAAUCGUGUCAUGAUGUCUAAGUCUAUGAUUAAAUUAAAGCAAAACUUUCAACAACGGAUCUCUUGGUUCUG